GAUGAACGCUGGCGGCGUGCCUAAUACAUGCAAGUCGAGCGAAAGGACCAGAAGUUUGUUUUUUUGAUGUUUGCCGAGCACGGGUGUGUAACAUGUGGAUCAUCUACCUAUAAGACUGGUAUAAUUUCGGGAAACCGGCGCUUAUCCCGGAUAAUAUUUUGAACCGUAUUGUUCAUUAGUGAAAGUCGGCCUUGCUGUCACUUAUAGAUGGAUCUGCGCUGCAUUAGCUAGUUGGUAAGGUAACGGCUUACCAAGGCGAGGAUGCAUAGCCGACCGGAGAGGGGGAUAGGCCACACUGGAACGGAGACACGGUCCAUACGCCUGCGGGAGGCAGCAGAAGGGAACCUGAGGCAAUGGGGGAAAGCCUGACGGAGCAACGCGGCGUGAGUGAUGAAGGUCUUCGGAUCGUAAAACUCUGUUAUUAGGGAAGAACAUAUGUGGAAGUAACUGUGCACAUCUUGACGGUACCUAAUCAGAAAGCCACGGCUAACUACGUG
This 497-nucleotide ribosomal RNA is filed under the name uncultured bacterium. RNAcentral describes it as "partial 16S ribosomal RNA". It matches the Rfam family "Bacterial small subunit ribosomal RNA", at positions 28 to 507 of the family's 1533-position model. The record is from RNAcentral.